CUCGUUUAGAUUGAAGGAGCUUGCUCCUGAUUGAUAAACAUUUGAGUGAGUGGCGGACGGGUGAGUAACACGUGGGUAACCUGCCCUAAAGUGGGGGAUAACAUUUGGAAACAGAUGCUAAUACCGCAUAAAACCUAACACCGCAUGGUGUAGGGUUGAAAGAUGGUUUCGGCUAUCACUUUAGGAUGGACCCGCGGUGCAUUAGUUAGUUGGUGAGGUAAAGGCUCACCAAGACCGUGAUGCAUAGCCGACCUGAGAGGGUAAUCGGCCACACUGGGACUGAGACACGGCCCAGACUCCUACGGGAGGCAGCAGUAGGGAAUCUUCCACAAUGGACGAAAGUCUGAUGGAGCAACGCCGCGUGAGUGAAGAAGGUUUUCGGAUCGUAAAACUCUGUUGUUGGAGAAGAAUGUAUCUGAUAGUAACUGAUCAGGUAGUGACGGUAUCCAACCAGAAAGCCACGGCUAACUACGUGCCAGCAGCCGCGGUAAUACGUAGGUGGCAAGCGUUGUCCGGAUUUAUUGGGCGUAAAGCGAGCGCAGGCGGUUUCUUAAGUCUGAUGUGAAAGCCUUCGGCUCAACCGAAGAAGUGCAUCGGAAACUGGGAAACUUGAGUGCAGAAGAGGACAGUGGAACUCCAUGUGUAGCGGUGAAAUGCGUAGAUAUAUGGAAGAACACCAGUGGCGAAGGCGG
This 692-nucleotide ribosomal RNA is filed under the name uncultured Lactobacillus sp. RNAcentral describes it as "bacterial SSU rRNA". It matches the Rfam family "Bacterial small subunit ribosomal RNA", at positions 58 to 724 of the family's 1533-position model. Lineage: Bacteria; Bacillati; Bacillota; Bacilli; Lactobacillales; Lactobacillaceae. The record is from RNAcentral.